UACACGCACGCACGCACGCACGCAUGCUGGGCAUAGAUUACAAACACAUUUGUUAUGUCGAAGAGAGCUUGGGGUAAAUAUUGAUCUCGUUCUUCCUCUGUUUCAGUGAGAGAUGAUUAGAAGGAGCAAGCUGGAGCAACAAACCCGGCGCAGCCAGCAAUCACAUCACAUGGAACACAUAUAAAUACACGGAGCAGCAAAAGAAGUCAAGGCUUCACAGAGCAUGCUCUGUUUGAGAACAGGGCUCGGGAUGGAAAGUGCUUAUCUUUCAACUUCUGUCACUCGUGGAACAAACACUGUUGGCAGGCUUUCAGAAAUCUCAGAGCAAAGGUAAGGAUUCACAAGGAAAAACACAAACACAGCUGUUUUUGUAAUGCUAGCCGGGCUAACAUGUAUAAAGUAUUUCAUUAUUUUAUCUUUAUUUAAAAAAAAACAAAAAAAACUGUAAAACCUUAUUUUACUUGGACAAACGUUGCGUGCUGUCGCACGUCAUUAUUUAGCCAGACUUUUGAUAACUCUAAGUAAUUUCAUUUGAAAUCAAUAAUUUUAUUAAUCUAAUCAGUUGAGUUUUUCCUUGACUCUUAUACAAAAAUGAGCAAGACCACAUAGCUUAAAACCACGUGAUCACUGUGUGCAUGACUUACACACACACACACACACACACACACGCACAGCUGCUGUACAUGAGGAAGAAAAGUAGCUCAGGGAAGGAAGGCUGGGAAAACCCAAUGCUUGUGUAUCAAAGGAGUUGGGAGAGAGGCUAAUCUGACUCCCCACUCAGCUUAAACAUGCUUUGAUGCCUCUUGUGCUGCUUCUGCACAACUUUCUCCUCUCGCUCUGUUUUUCUUCUUUUUUUUUUUUUUUGCAGCUCCCACUGCAUGCGUGCUUGUUUUGUGCAUGUGUGCGUGCAUCUCGACGGAGCUCCGGGGAGGCCAGGGGUGGAGGCACGCCACAAGAAAGAGCUCCCCCGAGCAAAUUAGAGAGGACUCCACUUAAACACUAACAGAAAACGCGAAGGGAGAGAGACGGUUUCAAGCAAAACGAGCGUUUCACCGAUAGCCGCUGCGGACUGAAGACCUACCAGGGCAAUGUGAACCGUAAACUCCACGCCGAUG
This is a long non-coding RNA of Poecilia latipinna (sailfin molly), 1115 nucleotides long. RefSeq lists it as uncharacterized. The record is from RefSeq and is a predicted model, not a curated record. The transcript has 3 exons. NCBI's taxonomy places the organism in Eukaryota, Metazoa, Chordata, Actinopteri, Cyprinodontiformes, Poeciliidae.